This 73-nucleotide transfer RNA is filed under the name Camelus bactrianus (Bactrian camel). It matches the Rfam family "tRNA". Rfam says of the family: Transfer RNA (tRNA) molecules are approximately 80 nucleotides in length. Their secondary structure includes four short double-helical elements and three loops (D, anti-codon, and T loops). Lineage: Eukaryota; Metazoa; Chordata; Mammalia; Artiodactyla; Camelidae. RNAcentral also lists the same sequence under 1 other name. The record is from Rfam by way of RNAcentral.
GGCAGGGUACAGCUCAGGGGAGAGCGCAUGUUUAGCAUGCACGAGGUCCUGGGUUCAAUCCCCAGUCCCUCCA